RNAcentral lists this ribosomal RNA (363 nucleotides) under Triticum aestivum (bread wheat). RNAcentral describes it as "partial small subunit ribosomal RNA". Lineage: Eukaryota; Viridiplantae; Streptophyta; Magnoliopsida; Poales; Poaceae. The record is from RNAcentral.
AUGUGUUUUGCUGCUUGCAAGAAAGGUUUCCUGGCUGGUUGUAGAAGGGUAAUAGGCCUGUAUGGAUGUUUCAUCAAGGGUGCUACAUAUGGGCAGUUGUUAUGUGCUUUGGGCAGAGAUGCAAAUAACCAGAUUUAUCCGAUAGCAUGGGCUUUAGUUGAGAAGGAAACAUAUGAAUCUUGGUUUUGGUUUCUUGCAUUGUUGAACAAGGAUUUAAAAAUACCAAACCAAGGAGAAGGUUGGGUAGUAAUAUCUGACCAGCAAAAAGGUCUUAUUGGUGCUAUUGAGGAUAUAUUUCCCAAAGUUGAACACAUGAUGUGUGCAAGGCAUAUAUAUGCAAACUGGAAAAAAGAAACAUCCUGA